RNAcentral lists this ribosomal RNA (2773 nucleotides) under Escherichia coli. RNAcentral describes it as "bacterial LSU rRNA". It matches the Rfam family "Bacterial large subunit ribosomal RNA". Lineage: Bacteria; Pseudomonadati; Pseudomonadota; Gammaproteobacteria; Enterobacterales; Enterobacteriaceae. RNAcentral also lists the same sequence under 1 other name. The record is from RNAcentral.
AGCGUACACGGUGGAUGCCCUGGCAGUCAGAGGCGAUGAAGGACGUGCUAAUCUGCGAUAAGCGUCGGUAAGGUGAUAUGAACCGUUAUAACCGGCGAUUUCCGAAUGGGGAAACCCAGUGUGUUUCGACACACUAUCAUUAACUGAAUCCAUAGGUUAAUGAGGCGAACCGGGGGAACUGAAACAUCUAAGUACCCCGAGGAAAAGAAAUCAACCGAGAUUCCCCCAGUAGCGGCGAGCGAACGGGGAGCAGCCCAGAGCCUGAAUCAGUGUGUGUGUUAGUGGAAGCGUCUGGAAAGGCGCGCGAUACAGGGUGACAGCCCCGUACACAAAAAUGCACAUGCUGUGAGCUCGAUGAGUAGGGCGGGACACGUGGUAUCCUGUCUGAAUAUGGGGGGACCAUCCUCCAAGGCUAAAUACUCCUGACUGACCGAUAGUGAACCAGUACCGUGAGGGAAAGGCGAAAAGAACCCCGGCGAGGGGAGUGAAAAAGAACCUGAAACCGUGUACGUACAAGCAGUGGGAGCACGCUUAGGCGUGUGACUGCGUACCUUUUGUAUAAUGGGUCAGCGACUUAUAUUCUGUAGCAAGGUUAACCGAAUAGGGGAGCCGAAGGGAAACCGAGUCUUAACUGGGCGUUAAGUUGCAGGGUAUAGACCCGAAACCCGGUGAUCUAGCCAUGGGCAGGUUGAAGGUUGGGUAACACUAACUGGAGGACCGAACCGACUAAUGUUGAAAAAUUAGCGGAUGACUUGUGGCUGGGGGUGAAAGGCCAAUCAAACCGGGAGAUAGCUGGUUCUCCCCGAAAGCUAUUUAGGUAGCGCCUCGUGAAUUCAUCUCCGGGGGUAGAGCACUGUUUCGGCAAGGGGGUCAUCCCGACUUACCAACCCGAUGCAAACUGCGAAUACCGGAGAAUGUUAUCACGGGAGACACACGGCGGGUGCUAACGUCCGUCGUGAAGAGGGAAACAACCCAGACCGCCAGCUAAGGUCCCAAAGUCAUGGUUAAGUGGGAAACGAUGUGGGAAGGCCCAGACAGCCAGGAUGUUGGCUUAGAAGCAGCCAUCAUUUAAAGAAAGCGUAAUAGCUCACUGGUCGAGUCGGCCUGCGCGGAAGAUGUAACGGGGCUAAACCAUGCACCGAAGCUGCGGCAGCGACGCUGAUGCGUUGUUGGGUAGGGGAGCGUUCUGUAAGCCUGCGAAGGUGUGCUGUGAGGCAUGCUGGAGGUAUCAGAAGUGCGAAUGCUGACAUAAGUAACGAUAAAGCGGGUGAAAAGCCCGCUCGCCGGAAGACCAAGGGUUCCUGUCCAACGUUAAUCGGGGCAGGGUGAGUCGACCCCUAAGGCGAGGCCGAAAGGCGUAGUCGAUGGGAAACAGGUUAAUAUUCCUGUACUUGGUGUUACUGCGAAGGGGGGACGGAGAAGGCUAUGUUGGCCGGGCGACGGUUGUCCCGGUUUAAGCGUGUAGGCUGGUUUUCCAGGCAAAUCCGGAAAAUCAAGGCUGAGGCGUGAUGACGAGGCACUACGGUGCUGAAGCAACAAAUGCCCUGCUUCCAGGAAAAGCCUCUAAGCAUCAGGUAACAUCAAAUCGUACCCCAAACCGACACAGGUGGUCAGGUAGAGAAUACCAAGGCGCUUGAGAGAACUCGGGUGAAGGAACUAGGCAAAAUGGUGCCGUAACUUCGGGAGAAGGCACGCUGAUAUGUAGGUGAAGCGACUUGCUCGUGGAGCUGAAAUCAGUCGAAGAUACCAGCUGGCUGCAACUGUUUAUUAAAAACACAGCACUGUGCAAACACGAAAGUGGACGUAUACGGUGUGACGCCUGCCCGGUGCCGGAAGGUUAAUUGAUGGGGUUAGCGCAAGCGAAGCUCUUGAUCGAAGCCCCGGUAAACGGCGGCCGUAACUAUAACGGUCCUAAGGUAGCGAAAUUCCUUGUCGGGUAAGUUCCGACCUGCACGAAUGGCGUAAUGAUGGCCAGGCUGUCUCCACCCGAGACUCAGUGAAAUUGAACUCGCUGUGAAGAUGCAGUGUACCCGCGGCAAGACGGAAAGACCCCGUGAACCUUUACUAUAGCUUGACACUGAACAUUGAGCCUUGAUGUGUAGGAUAGGUGGGAGGCUUUGAAGUGUGGACGCCAGUCUGCAUGGAGCCGACCUUGAAAUACCACCCUUUAAUGUUUGAUGUUCUAACGUUGACCCGUAAUCCGGGUUGCGGACAGUGUCUGGUGGGUAGUUUGACUGGGGCGGUCUCCUCCUAAAGAGUAACGGAGGAGCACGAAGGUUGGCUAAUCCUGGUCGGACAUCAGGAGGUUAGUGCAAUGGCAUAAGCCAGCUUGACUGCGAGCGUGACGGCGCGAGCAGGUGCGAAAGCAGGUCAUAGUGAUCCGGUGGUUCUGAAUGGAAGGGCCAUCGCUCAACGGAUAAAAGGUACUCCGGGGAUAACAGGCUGAUACCGCCCAAGAGUUCAUAUCGACGGCGGUGUUUGGCACCUCGAUGUCGGCUCAUCACAUCCUGGGGCUGAAGUAGGUCCCAAGGGUAUGGCUGUUCGCCAUUUAAAGUGGUACGCGAGCUGGGUUUAGAACGUCGUGAGACAGUUCGGUCCCUAUCUGCCGUGGGCGCUGGAGAACUGAGGGGGGCUGCUCCUAGUACGAGAGGACCGGAGUGGACGCAUCACUGGUGUUCGGGUUGUCAUGCCAAUGGCACUGCCCGGUAGCUAAAUGCGGAAGAGAUAAGUGCUGAAAGCAUCUAAGCACGAAACUUGCCCCGAGAUGAGUUCU